GUAGGUGAACCUGCGGAAGGAUCAUUACCAAAUCCAAAUACCCAAACCCCAUGUGAACUAUUGUAUAGUCUGUCUUUGGGAGAAAAACGAAAAAUAUUUUAGAAUUAAUUUCGGUUUCUUUUAAUAUAUUUGAAUUUUUCUCCCAAUAGAGUCCGGCGCAACUUUAUUGUUGUGUCCAGAUUCGAAAACACCUUUAAACCACUUGAUUAUUCUGUUGGAAUUAACUUUUAUUAAUUUUUAAAUAAAAGACAACUUUUAACGGCGGAUCUCUUGGCUCGU
This 279-nucleotide unclassified non-coding RNA is filed under the name rhizosphere metagenome. RNAcentral's name for it is "partial ribosomal RNA internal transcribed spacer region". The record is from RNAcentral.